GACUCUUUAGCUUCUUCCUCUUAGUGUCUCUCAUUCAACGUACGGCAGUUGAGACUCAUCCAUGUUCUCGCGUGUAUGAGUCGUUCACUACUUUUCAAUCCUGACUCCUGUCCCGUUGUUCGCCUACCCACUCCGUCACCGGUGAACGUUAGAAUGCCAAGGAACACACCUGUCGAGUCCUACAGGAAGGCCAGGAAGCUCAGAGCCAAACUUGCAAAUCCUACUCUGGAGCCCCGUGCCUUGAGUAUUUUCAUUCUCACGUCUUCCAUUUAAACCGGCAUUUGCUUUAAUUGUAUGAUUCCUACUGUUUCAAUUUAUUAACAUAUUUCUUAUCAGCCAUCUCUUUUUGUCUUGUCUGUGUGUAUGUAGAAC
This 372-nucleotide long non-coding RNA is filed under the name Mustela putorius furo (domestic ferret). RNAcentral describes it as "lncRNA (ENSMPUG00000028675.1)". Lineage: Eukaryota; Metazoa; Chordata; Mammalia; Carnivora; Mustelidae. The record is from RNAcentral.